UGGCGGGAAUGCCCCGUUAGGUGGCUAACCUCCGGACAAUCCAAAAAGAAGAAGACUAGUCACUUCCGCGUCAACACAGACUAGCACAACCAACAUGGCGACGCUAGAUAGUCUUAAACGUUUGGAGUAUUUAUCUUUGGUAUCCAAAGUGUGCACCGAGUUGGAAAACCAUCUUGGAAUAAGCGAAAAGGAUCUUGCUGAAUUCAUUAUCAGCCUCGCAGACAGUCACCCAACAUUUGGGGAGUUUAAAGCUGCCUUGACACAAAAUGGAGCCGCGUUUACUGAAACACUCACGAAAAACCUAUUUAGAAUUAUCAAAACCAUGCAAGCGAGUCAAGCACAUCAGCAAAAACCCAAGAGUGAGCAAGACAAGCUGAAAGAAAAAUAUCCCGCUUUAUGUAAACCAGAUGAUCCCGUGUGGAGGCUCAGUGAAAAUGAUGAGCAGGUUGCCGCAGCAGCCAUGAAGGAGCUGGAGAUGCUCAUGCCUUCCUCUGCAUCUGGUUUAUGUACCUUUAGAGAGGAGAGCAGUCGGAAACGUCAUUGGUCCGGGUCGAGAGAGUGCGAAGGCGAUACGACCGGCAAGCGGCAACGGAAACGACCGUCCCGCUGGAGCGACCGACCACCGAGCCCGCCACGAGACGCCGCAAGGGAGGAGGCGGUCCCGGAACCGAAGCCCGUCGAGCGCCCUCUGUCCGAUGUUCCCGUGGUGGGCGACAUCUACUGUGGCAAAGUGUCCAGUGUGAUGCAGUUUGGAUGCUUUGUGCAGCUAGAAGGACUUCGGAGGCGCUGGGAAGGCCUGGUGCACGUGUCGGAGCUGCGCAAGGAAGGCCGAAUAGCAGACGUGUCGUAUGUGGUCAGCAGGGGACAAAAGGUCAAAGUCAAAGUGCUGUCCAUGACCGGAACAAAGGCCAGCCUCAGCAUGAAGGACGUCGAUCAGGAAACCGGAGAGGACCUGAACCCCAACCGCAAGAGGAACUUUGAAACCGGUACGGGUGCCGGGGACGGGGACAACGCCCUGAGGAAUCCCGACUUUCCUGUGGAGGUUUGCGUGGUGGAGAGCGAGGAGAACCCAAGUGAGCAAAAGAGGAUGGCCCGCAUCACAGACUUGGAAAAGUGGGAGGUCAAACAGAUGAUUGCCGCCAAUGUUCUCCCGAAGGAGGAGUACCCGGAGUUUGAUGAGGAGACAGGAAUCCUUCCCAACUUAGACGACGAGGAAGAUAUGGACAUUGAGAUCGACCUGGUAGAUGAGGAGCCGCCCUUCCUGCAGGGUCAGACGCGGUGGAGCAACAACACGAGUCCCGCCAAGAUCGUCAAGAAUCCCGACGGCUCGCUAUCGCGGGCGGCCAUGAUGCAGAGCGCCCUGGCCAAAGAGCGUCGCGAGCUCAAGCAGGCGGCUCGCAACGAAGAGAUGGACCGCAUCCCGACCGGUCUCCACAAGAACUGGAUCGACCCCAUGCCGGACUACGAGGGUCGGCAGAUCGCCGCCAACAUGCGCGGCAUCGGCGCCCUGCCCAUCAACGUUCCAGAGUGGAAGCGGUACGCCUUCGGGGGGAACCAGGUGUCGUACGGCAAGAAGACGGAGCUGUCUAUCCUGCAGCAGCGGGAGAGUCUUCCCAUCUUUAAGCUCAAGGAGGAGCUGGUUCAGGCUGUCCACGACAACCAGAUCCUGAUCGUGGUGGGCGAAACCGGCUCGGGGAAGACCACGCAGAUCACGCAGUACCUGGCGGAUGCGGGAUACACGGCGCGGGGGAAGAUCGGCUGCACGCAGCCCCGCCGCGUGGCCGCCAUGUCGGUCGCCAAGAGGGUCUCCGAGGAGUACGGAUGUCGGCUGGGCCAGGAGGUGGGCUACACAAUUCGUUUCGAGGACUGCACCAGCAUGGAGACCCUGAUCAAGUACAUGACUCACGGAAUGCUGCAGCGGGAAUGUCUGAUCGACCCCGACAUGAGCCAGUAUUCCCUCAUCAUGUUGGAUGAGGCCCACGAGAGGACCAUCCACACCGACGUCCUCUUCGGACUACUCAAGAAGACUGUGCAAAAGCGCAAGGACCUGAAGCUGAUCGUGUCGUCGGCCACGUUGGACGCCGUCAAGUUUUCGCAGUACUUCUUCGAGGCACCCAUCUUCACCAUCCCAGGGAGGACGUUCCCUGUGGAGAUCCUCUACGCCAGGGAGCCCGAGACUGACUAUCUGGAUGCCAGCCUCAUCACAGUCAUGCAGAUCCACCUGACCGAACCUCCCGGUGACAUCCUGGUCUUUCUGACUGGGCAGGAGGAGAUCGACACGGCCUGCGAGAUCCUCUUUGAGCGCAUGAGGAUGCUUGGUCCUGAUGUUCCCCAGCUCAUCAUCCUUCCCGUUUAUUCAGCACUGCCCAGCGAGAUGCAGACCAGGAUCUUUGACCCGGCACCACUUGGCAGCAGGAAGGUGAUCAUCGCCACAAACAUUGCCGAGACGUCGCUGACCAUCGACGGCAUCUACUACGUGGUGGACCCCGGUUUUGUCAAACAGAUUGUUUACAACUCCAAGUCAGGCAUCGACCAGCUGGUGGUGACGCCCAUUUCGCAGGCACAGGCCAAGCAGCGUUCGGGCCGAGCCGGCAGGACAGGUCCCGGCAAGUGUUACCGCCUGUACACGGAGCGAGCGUACAGGGACGAGAUGUUGACCACCAACGUGCCGGAGAUCCAGAGGACCAAUCUGGCCAGCACGGUGCUCUCGCUCAAGGCCAUGGGCAUCAACGACCUGCUGGCCUUCGACUUCAUGGACGCUCCCCCCAUGGAGACGCUGAUCACAGCCAUGGAGCAGCUCUACGCUCUGGGUGCGCUGGACGACGAGGGGCUACUCACACGUCUGGGAAGGAGGAUGGCGGAAUUUCCUCUGGAGCCCAUGUUGUGCAAGAUGCUGAUCAUGUCCGUGCACCUGGGCUGCAGCGACGAGAUGCUCACCAUCGUGUCCAUGUUGUCCGUGCAGAACGUCUUCUACAGGCCCAAGGACAAGCAGAUCCAGGCAGACCAGAGGAAGGCCAAGUUCUCCCAGCCGGAAGGCGACCAUCUGACCCUGCUGGCCGUUUUCAACUCGUGGAAGAACAACAAGUUCUCCAACCCUUGGUGCUUUGAGAACUUCAUUCAGGGCCGCUCGCUCAAAAGAUCCCAGGACAUCCGCAAGCAGAUGUUGAGCAUCAUGGACAGACACAAGCUGGACGUGGUGUCUUGCGGCAAGUCGACCAUGCGCGUGCAGAAAGCCAUCUGCAGCGGUUUCUUCCGCAACGCUGCCAGGAAGGACCCUAAGGAGGGCUACCGGACCCUCAUCGACCAGCAGGUGGUCUACCUCCACCCGUCCAGCACGCUCUUCAACCGCCAGCCCGAGUGGCUGGUCUACCACGAGCUGGUGCUGACCACCAAGGAGUACAUGCGUGAGGUGACCACUAUCGACCCACGCUGGUUGGUGGAGUUCGCGCCCGCCUUUUUCAAGGUGUCCGACCCGACACGCCUCAGCAGGCAGAAGAAGCAGCAGCGCCUGGAGCCUCUCUAUAACCGCUACGAGGAGCCUAACGCUUGGAGGAUCUCCAGAGCCUUCAGGAGACGCUGACAACUUUGACGGGGACAUUGGUAAAGUGUGAUGAUUGGUAAAGUCUGGUGCUAUGUCCUUUAUUUUAGGACAAGAUGAAUGGUCUGACACAUUUUCGCUACCUGUUUUUAAUCAGAGAUGCAAGUAAACCGCAAGUCAAAAUGAAAAUAAGACAAUGUGCUCGAAGACAAUUUUGAAAUCAGCAUAAAAAAACGACGAGUCACGCGCAAAGCCAUCUCUGCCUAUAUUGUCAAGAUAGCGUCAGCCAUAGUAAGUUUGAAUGACAUGUAUUUAUUGUGCUGUACUAAAAAGAAAUGUAUAGGUAUACAACGGUCUUAGUGUGUCAUCAAAAAUAUACAAUGUAUAUAAAUAUGUAUAUAAAGAAAACGUGCGUGCCUGUGGAGGCCAAGAAGGAGUCAGGACGUGCAGUCGUGUAUAAUUUGAAGUAUUUAUUAAGCAAUCUCUUGAUCCACAAUCGUAUUUCGAGGCCUCGGCGGUGACAGGGAGCCUCGGGAAACUCAGCUCCCUCGUGAGAUUAAUUUAGAACAGAAACACCGUAGCUGUAUAUACAAGUGGCGGCGGGGGAAGGGGUGCAUGGAGGCGUGUAUAAAGAUGCUUUGGGGGUACAGCAAGGGAUUCGGGGGGGCUCGGAGGGAUGCGGCUUUAGUACAUAUAGGCUUUGGAGUAGGGCUGGGCGGCGUGGGCGGGGUGCUCGGCAGCGUUGUAGGGCGGCCCUCCCUCGUCCAGGUGAGACAGCGGCACCGUGUCCUCCUCGUUGACGUAGCGCUCAAACUCGGCCUUCAGGCUGGGCCGCUGAUUGUCGGGGAAGGCCAGCGAGAUCAGCGCCUCGGGCUCGCACACAAACUUGUACACGUAGCGCUCGCCCGCCACCUGAGAACGGCACGCACGCUUAGCCAAAAAGACCAAAAUGGACCAGCUGACCCAGAUAUCUUUUUUUUUUUUUACCUUCUGCAUGAUUCCCUUCUCAUAGUAGUAGCGCAGAGAGCGGCUCAGCUUGUCGUAGUUCAUGGCGGGACGAUUCUUCUGCAUCCCCCACAACCGGGCCACCUGAGGAGCAGGUUGACGUCCAUUAUUACUUGGGAUGGCAGACAAUGCUAUGUGCAGUACUUUUUUUUUUUUCUUCCCCAAAAUGGCAUGAGCACUGAAUGUAUUUGCGCAUGAUGCAAGCAGGCAUCCAGCAUCAUGUUGGGCUGAUCCCUGAGUGCUCUCAGCCACUAAUUGCACUCGUACAUUUUUAAUGCCUUGUGAAGCCAUAAUAGAACCGUGCAGCAGCGUUUGGACGCUCCCCAAAUGGACACGCGCCCCACUCAUAACGACAACGCUAAUUGGACACUUACAACUAGAUCGCACUUCACCUUUUGGUAGUGGUGUUCUUUUAUUUUUUUUAAUAAAUCAUUUGCUUUGAAAGGCUGUGAAUGGAUUCACUGUGUUGCUUUUCCUUAGACUAGCAAAGUUGUAAGUCUUUGGCUAGCAUGUGUUGGUUAUUAAUGUAGUUUGUGCAGUUUGAUAUUUGUCCUUCAUAUCUUUUAUGUAUUCAUCGUUCAAAGCAUACAUAUAUAAUGCAACUUGUUGAAAUUGUGCCUAGUGAACCAAAAGUAUGCAAAGGAUGACUGAACUUCCUUGACACAAACUGGUACUAUUUUCAAAUUAGCCAGGGCUUUGGUGCCGUGUUGUGGAAAGUGCGCAGGUACCUCUUCGGGCUCAAUGAGCUUGAACUCCAUCCCGCGGCCGGUCCAGGCGAUGAAGUGCGCGUUGCCGGGGUCAUCCAGGAGGGCCACCAAGAAUUGCCACAGUUGCAGCGAGCCUCGCCGCUGGUAAGGCGUUCCCUCGCGGAACACGCCGCCACCGCCGCCGCCUGUUUCCUGCUUUACCUCACCUGCAAAGGAGAGAGAACAGUCACCCGGACAUUGUCAAGGCAAAUUGGACAACGUUUGCAGCGUGACUGGCUUACCGCUCAAGAAUUUAUUUUCUACUUUCACAGCGACCUUGUAACUUCACAGCUCUACAUAACACUGUUCCUAGCAUAAAAGGAAUGAGUUUGUCUCCAAAUGAUAAGCAUAUCUGGUGAGUACGAUGCGGUGGUGUUUUUUUUUAUUUUUUAUGUUCAUGUUAGGAGGUAAAGAUUGUGCACUGUUAUAUUGUAGUGAUUCUUCCACAUGUAGCUCCCACAUUUGUUGCUCCACGACAGACCCCGGGAAUAAAGUGGAUACAUCAUGUCAUCACUAUGUACAUGAUGUUAGUCUACAACAAUCUUUAUCCUCAUCUUUGGGUGAGAACCGACUUGUCCCGGAGUGUCGCCGGCGGCCCACAUCAGUCAGCAUGACAGCGAGUGGUGGGAGGGAAACAAGGCGCGGCGACAUUUGGACCCGCUGUUAAUGCACAAGAUGCGAGACACCAUUGACAUUUCCCCUGUUUGGUCUUGCGGAGCAGUUGAGAACUCCUAAAUGUGACGUGGCUCCGGUUUCAAGGCUUUUGUCAAUGCUGCGACUUAUGAAUGAAGACGAAACCCCGCCCCUCAGCCAUUCACAACGCUUCACGGGG
RNA transcript from Syngnathus acus (greater pipefish), 6121 nucleotides. It is a transcript of the gene named ATP-dependent RNA helicase DHX8-like, with no coding region annotated. The transcript is spliced from 26 exons. Lineage: Eukaryota; Metazoa; Chordata; Actinopteri; Syngnathiformes; Syngnathidae. The record is from RefSeq and is a predicted model, not a curated record.